This 372-nucleotide ribosomal RNA is filed under the name Amynthas aspergillum. Its description in RNAcentral is "Amynthas aspergillus partial 12S ribosomal RNA". It matches the Rfam family "Bacterial small subunit ribosomal RNA", at positions 874 to 1403 of the family's 1533-position model. The record is from RNAcentral. Lineage: Eukaryota; Metazoa; Annelida; Clitellata; Crassiclitellata; Megascolecidae.
AUUCAUGACAUAAACAACAGUUGAAUAUUACGAACAAUAGUUUAAAAUUCAAAGAUUUUGGCGGUGUCUUAUAAAACCAGGGGAACCUGUCUCAUAACUCGAUAAUCCACGUAUAUCCAACCUUCUUUUGAUAUCCAGCAUGUGUACUGCCGUUGUAAGCAUACCUCUAAAAGAAAGUACGCCACUAUGACUAUAACUCAUAUACAUCAGGUCAAAGUGCAGCCGAUGAGAAGGUGAUGAUGGGUUACAACCCCAAAAUAGACUAUCAACUAAGAAAUAAAAAAUCUUACGAAAGUGGACUUGGCCGUAAUCAAUUUACAAGUUAAAAAAAUGAAUUAAUAUCUAAGACAUGCACACACCGCCCGUCACCCU